CGAUGUUAGAGUAUAGCGUCGCGACGCCGUGUGUAUCUCAGGCCCUUUGUCGAAGCACAUCGGUGCUAUGGCCCCAGCGUGCUUGAAGACCUCGGAGCACCAUGGUGCCAAAUGCAAUUAAGCCAAAUGUUGCUCUUGGGAAAAUGCAUCAAGCAUGGUUCCUGUCGGUGCCGCUAUGUCAUGCAUUCAGGGAAAAAUUGUGUAUGCGUACAAAUCUGGGUUGUUACAAAGACUGUCCGUUCAAGUGAAAAAGACUUUGUGUUAUUCCGAGAGGCAAAAUCUAUCUGUUCAAGGCUUCAAGUCGUUGCCGCCUGAGAUCUGUUGUCGUUCAAGUCGAUGAAAAUUUCCUUUGCCAUUUGAAAAGUAUGUUUGUGUAUGUUUGAAUGCUUUGAAUUUUAAGCUUGAAUAUGUUUGAAAAAUAUGUUUUAAUGCUUUGAA
This is a non-coding RNA of Benincasa hispida (wax gourd), 438 nucleotides long. The record is from RefSeq and is a predicted model, not a curated record. Lineage: Eukaryota; Viridiplantae; Streptophyta; Magnoliopsida; Cucurbitales; Cucurbitaceae.